This 777-nucleotide ribosomal RNA is filed under the name uncultured Ralstonia sp. RNAcentral describes it as "bacterial SSU rRNA". It matches the Rfam family "Bacterial small subunit ribosomal RNA", at positions 550 to 1332 of the family's 1533-position model. The record is from RNAcentral. Lineage: Bacteria; Pseudomonadati; Pseudomonadota; Betaproteobacteria; Burkholderiales; Burkholderiaceae.
AUUACUGGGCGUAAAGCGUGCGCAGGCGGUUGUGCAAGACCGAUGUGAAAUCCCCGAGCUUAACUUGGGAAUUGCAUUGGUGACUGCACGGCUAGAGUGUGUCAGAGGGGGGUAGAAUCCACGUGUAGCAGUGAAAUGCGUAGAGAUGUGGAGGAAUACCGAUGGCGAAGGCAGCCCCCUGGGAUAACACUGAUGCUCAUGCACGAAAGCGUGGGGAGCUAACAGGAUUAGAUACCCUGGUAGUCCACGCCCUAAACGAUGUCAACUAGUUGUUGGGGAUUCAUUUCCUUAGUAACGUAGCUAACGCGUGAAGUUGACCGCCUGGGGAGUACGGUCGCAAGAUUAAAACUCAAAGGAAUUGACGGGGACCCGCACAAGCGGUGGAUGAUGUGGAUUAAUUCGAUGCAACGCGAAAAACCUUACCUACCCUUGACAUGCCACUAACGAAGCAGAGAUGCAUUAGGUGCUCGAAAGAGAAAGUGGACACAGGUGCUGCAUGGCUGUCGUCAGCUCGUGUCGUGAGAUGUUGGGUUAAGUCCCGCAACGAGCGCAACCCUUGUCUCUAGUUGCUACGAAAGGGCACUCUAGAGAGACUGCCGGUGACAAACCGGAGGAAGGUGGGGAUGACGUCAAGUCCUCAUGGCCCUUAUGGGUAGGGCUUCACACGUCAUACAAUGGUGCAUACAGAGGGUUGCCAAGCCGCGAGGUGGAGCUAAUCCCAGAAAAUGCAUCGUAGUCCGGAUCGUAGUCUGCAACUCGACUACGUGAAGCUGGAAU